UGCAGUCGAACGGUGAAGCCAAGCUUGCUUGGUGGAUCAGUGGCGAACGGGUGAGUAACACGUGAGCAACCUGCCCUGGACUCUGGGAUAAGCGCUGGAAACGGCGUCUAAUACUGGAUAUGAGACGUGAUCGCAUGGUCGUGUUUGGAAAGAUUUUUCGGUCUGGGAUGGGCUCGCGGCCUAUCAGCUUGUUGGUGAGGUAAUGGCUCACCAAGGCGUCGACGGGUAGCCGGCCUGAGAGGGUGACCGGCCACACUGGGACUGAGACACGGCCCAGACUCCUACGGGAGGCAGCAGUGGGGAAUAUUGCACAAUGGGCGGAAGCCUGAUGCAGCAACGCCGCGUGAGGGAUGACGGCCUUCGGGUUGUAAACCUCUUUUAGCAGGGAAGAAGCGAAAGUGACGGUACCUGCAGAAAAAGCGCCGGCUAACUACGUGCCAGCAGCCGCGGUAAUACGUAGGGCGCAAGCGUUAUCCGGAAUUAUUGGGCGUAAAGAGCUCGUAGGCGGUUUGUCGCGUCUGCUGUGAAAUCCCGAGGCUCAACCUCGGGCCUGCAGUGGGUACGGGCAGACUAGAGUGCGGUAGGGGAGAUUGGAAUUCCUGGUGUAGCGGUGGAAUGCGCAGAUAUCAGGAGGAACACCGAUGGCGAAGGCAGAUCUCUGGGCCGUAACUGACGCUGAGGAGCGAAAGGGUGGGGAGCAAACAGGCUUAGAUACCCUGGUAGUCCACCCCGUAAACGUUGGGAACUAGUUGUGGGGACCAUUCCACGGUUUCCGUGACGCAGCUAACGCAUUAAGUUCCCCGCCUGGGGAGUACGGCCGCAAGGCUAAAACUCAAAGGAAUUGACGGGGACCCGCACAAGCGGCGGAGCAUGCGGAUUAAUUCGAUGCAACGCGAAGAACCUUACCAAAGGCUUGACAUAUACG
This 925-nucleotide ribosomal RNA is filed under the name Microbacterium sp. NCCP-545. RNAcentral's name for it is "bacterial SSU rRNA". It matches the Rfam family "Bacterial small subunit ribosomal RNA", at positions 56 to 992 of the family's 1533-position model. The record is from RNAcentral. Lineage: Bacteria; Bacillati; Actinomycetota; Actinomycetes; Micrococcales; Microbacteriaceae.